AAAAAAUCAUUUCAAAUAAUAAUAAUAUAAAUUAUUCAAACUAAUGAUUUAGUUAAAACUUUACAGUAAUUAAAAUAUGCAAAAUAAACAAAACUAUUAAUUACAAUUAUUGAGAGCAUGACAAAUGAGAGCAUAACAAAUAAGCAAACUUACCUAAAAUCAUGGAGAACGUAACAACUAGAUUAAUUCACUUUUCAAAUAAUCUAAUCUAUUAAAAUAGAAUUUUUUUUAUCUACCAUAAACAAGUCUAAGUAGGACCAUUUAUUUAAUAGCCUAACAAAUAUAAAAUUGAUAGUAUCUAUAUAAAUUAAUCUAUUCUACACUAAAUCUUCCAUAACAACCAACCUCUUAUAAUCAUCUAACCAUCCCACGAUUACUUCAAAAAAUACAGCAGUGUUCAUAAUAUGUUUAAACUAUAUUUUUAAUAAACACUACAUACUUGCCAACCAUUUAUACAUUUUACAUUCAUAUACAAGUUUCUCAUCAACAAAACUAAUAAGACUACAAUUUAAUAUCUGUAGGCAAGUUAUUCAUCAACAAUGUUACCCAAAAAUCAUCAUUUUCUUAAGAGUCAAAGGUAUAAGACUCUUGAC
Molecule: long non-coding RNA, 593 nt
Filed under: Brassica napus (rape)
Lineage: Eukaryota; Viridiplantae; Streptophyta; Magnoliopsida; Brassicales; Brassicaceae
Description: long non-coding RNA (BNAP_LNC010057)
Source: RNAcentral